AUAUGGAAUUUCCCAGGCUAGGGGUCGAAUCAGAGCUGCUGGCCUAUACCAUAGUCACAGCCUUGCCAGAUAAGAGCCACAUCUACAGCCUACCCCACAGCUCACAGCAACUCCGUGAAAUUGAGUGUAGGUUAUAUGGAGACUCUCUGUACUUAGUAUCUUUAACAUUUUUUGUAAAUCUUAACUGUUCUAAAAAAUAAAUUUUAUUUUUUUUAAAAAAGUUCUGCCCUUGGGAAGGUUAUAUAUUUGUGGAAAGAAUAACAUAAAUAAAAAUAAGAUAUAGUGCAGGAAACGGUGAUAAAUAUUAUAGAGAAAAAUAUCAUGGUAAGGAAUAGAAAAUAUUGCCCAGAGUGGCAGUGAAGGAUUUGCCUCACUGCUUAGCCACAGGUCUGUGUGGGGAUCCACAGAGUUUGAGAGAUGACCUGGACAUAACAGGUUUCUAGUGGUGAAUGAUGGAAACAAGAUAAGAGGAAUGAUAAGUCCUGGAAAAUCUCAAGGCUGAUAAUAUUAAUGACACUCUAGAAGGAGAGGGAGACCAUUGAAAAUAUGGAACCCCAAGGGGGAGGGAGAGGGAAUGGGAUAGAUUGGGAGCUUGGGGUUAAUAGAUGCAAAGUAUUGCUUUUGGAAUGGAUUAGCAGUGAGAUCCUGCUGUGUAGCCCUGAGAGCUAUGUCUAGUCACUUAUGAUGGAGCAUGAUAGUGGGAGAAAAUAGAAUGUACACAUGUAUGUGUAACUGGGUCACCAUGGUGCACAGUAGGAAAAAAAAAUGUAUUGGGGAAAUAACAAUUAAAAAAAGAGGAAAAAAAAGGAAAAUGUGGAACCAUGGGAAGAGGUGGUCUGAAGCAUGUGGAGCUUGUGACUAUCACGUUCAUGGAGAUCAGUGCUCCCCUUAUAAAGGAAAUCUGAGACUGAAGAACUCUCAACAAUCUUUGCUUGCUCCCAUAACACAGUAGUUAACAAAUUUUAGACUAGCACCCAAGUUUCUGGAUUCCUAAACCAAACAUUUUUUUCCAUAUCAAAUGCUUCCCCUUGCUGAUGAUAGUGAAAUACACCAGAGGCGAUUGCCAAUUGAGAUUACUCAAAUAAGAGAAAUACAUAUAAAUAUUUAUGGGAGUUCCCGUCGUGGUGCAGUGGUUAAUGAAUCCGACUAGGAACCAUGAGGUUGUGGGUUCGAUCCCUGGCCUUGCUCAGUGGGUUAAGGAUCCGGCAUUACUGUGAGCUGUGGUGUAGGUUGCAGACAUGGCUCGGAUCCAGCGUUGCUGUGGCUCUGGCGUAGCCCAGUGGCUGCAGCUCCGAUUCGACUCCUAGCCUGGAAACCUCCAUAUGCCACAGGAGCGGCCCAAGAAAUAGCAAAAAAAGACCAAAAAUAAAUAAAUAAAUAAAUAUUUAUGGUAAGUAAGUAUAAACAUAUUUGCUUUGAUAUAAAUGAUCAAUAAGAUCAUAUUUUGAUUUAAUAUUUUACUAGAGUUUCUAGGUUUUUAAUAUUAAUUAUUGAGACCAUUUUUUGUUCUGAAGUGGUACAUACACUGCUAACUUCAACUUAAGAGUCCCAACUUGUGGAAUUAGCCAAUUUAAUUUUUGCUUCCUAGACUACUCAGAUUUCUUUUAGAUUGGCUCUCUGUUAUUUAAAAUUAGCUUCUUCACAUAUACUAGGUCUUGGCAUUCUUAAAUAAUAGCCACUUGAAUGUAAAUAAAUUCAAAAGCAAAUAGAAGUUAGCUGAUUCAAGUGUCAAGUGAAAAGGAUUUAAUUAAGGUAUGAGGUUUAAAAAACAUAUUGAGAACUGAUUUUGUGGUUGAGAUUGUGAUUUACUUUCAGAUAUGGCACCACUGUAAUCCUUAGCACAAUAAUUUACCCAUAGUAAACACUGAAUUAAAAUCUAUUGUAGGAGCGAAUUGAUCUUCUAUAACAUGUCUUUUUUCUUUUUAUUUCUUUUUUAUGUUUAUAUUUUUUUUAAUUUUUUAUGUAAUGAUUUUUGUUUUUUCCCAUUAUAGCUGGUUUACAGUGUUCCGUCAAUUUUCUACUGUACAGCAUGGUGACCCAGUUUCACAUACAUGUAUACAUUCUUUUUUCUCACUGCUCAGCAUCACUGAUUCUUACAGAAAUGCAAAUCAAAACUACCACAAGUACCACCUCACACCAGUCGGAAUGGCCAUCAUUAGCAAGUCCACAUCGAUGAGUGUGUAUAUAUAACAUUUCUGUAAGUAUGGUAUAUUUUAAAUUAGAAAAAGAGAUGAAAAUAAGAAAACUUUGGUGUGCAGGAAGUCAAAAUGAGUAGGAUACUGAAUCGGAAAGUUUGAGGAACUGUUUGGUUAGAUAAGAAUAAAAGAGAAAAAAAAUCUGUAACACUUUCCUGGUUUUGAAAGUGCCAUGCAGUGAAAUUCACUUAAUAUUUUAUAAUGGGCUAAGUCUAAAAUCUGAGAUUUAUUAUUCUGAACAUAAUUUUCAACUAAAUGGCAUAUAAGGUAUAAUAGGUAUGAAGAAAAAUUUAUAGAAUAGAUUAAAACGCACGUGACGAUGUCAUGAAAGUUGUGCUUUGUGAUUUGUGCAAUGUAUGCUUUCUUAUUCAUGCUAUAUUCACUGUUUCUCUUAUGUCUGACUUUCCUCUAAAAACAGACAAUCAAAAAUCAACUUUUGUCAAAUUUGAAAUCUCUUUAGUUUUAUGUGAUUCAAGUUUUGAGUAUUAAGAACAACUUGAUAAUAAGAUUUUUUAGAA
Molecule: long non-coding RNA, 2713 nt
Filed under: Sus scrofa (pig)
Lineage: Eukaryota; Metazoa; Chordata; Mammalia; Artiodactyla; Suidae
Description: lncRNA (ENSSSCG00000054709.1)
Source: RNAcentral